This 1140-nucleotide ribosomal RNA is filed under the name 'Euonymus japonicus' phytoplasma. RNAcentral's name for it is "bacterial SSU rRNA". It matches the Rfam family "Bacterial small subunit ribosomal RNA", at positions 198 to 1347 of the family's 1533-position model. The record is from RNAcentral. Lineage: Bacteria; Bacillati; Mycoplasmatota; Mollicutes; Acholeplasmatales; Acholeplasmataceae.
AAGACCUAGCAAUAGGUAUGCUUAGGGAAGAGCUUGCGUCACAUUAGUUAGUUGGUGGGGUAAUGGCCUACCAAGACGAUGAUGUGUAGCCGGGCUGAGAGGUCGAACGGCCACAUUGGGACUGAGACACGGCCCAAACUCCUACGGGAGGCAGCAGUAAGGAAUUUUCGGCAAUGGAGGAAACUCUGACCGAGCAAUGCCGCGUGAACGAUGAAGUAUUUCGGUACGUAAAGUUCUUUUAUUAGGGAAGAAAAGAUGGUGGAAAAACCAUUAUGACGGUACCUAAUGAAUAAGCCCCGGCUAACUAUGUGCCAGCAGCCGCGGUAAUACAUAGGGGGCAAGCGUUAUCCGGAAUUAUUGGGCGUAAAGGGUGCGUAGGCGGUUAAAUAAGUUUAUGGUCUAAGUGCAACGCUCAACGUUGUGAUGCUAUAAAAACUGUUUAGCUAGAGUUGGAUAGAGGCAAGUGGAAUUCCGUGUGUAGUGGUAAAAUGCGUAAAUAUACGGAGGAACACACAGAAGCGAAGGCGGCUUGCUGGGUCUUAACUGACGCUGAGGCACGAAAGCGUGGGGAGCAAACAGGAUUAGAUACCCUGGUAGUCCACGCCCUAAACGAUGAGUACUAAACGUUGGAUAAAACCAGUGUUGAAGUUAACACAUUAAGUACUCCGCCUGAGUAGUACGUACGCAAGUAUGAAACUUAAAGGAAUUGACGGGACUCCGCCCAAGCGGUGGAUCAUGUUGUUUAAUUCGAAGGUACCCGAAAAACCUCACCAGGUCUUGACAUGCUUUUGCAAAGCUGUAGAAAUACAGUGGAGGUUAUCAGAAGCACAGGUGGUGCAUGGUUGUCGUCAGCUCGUGUCGUGAGAUGUUGGGUUAAGUCCCGCAACGAGCGCAACCCUUGUUGUUAAUUGCCAUCAUUAAGUUGGGGACUUUAGCAAGACUGCCAAUGAUAAAUUGGAGGAAGGUGGGGACGACGUCAAAUCAUCAUGCCCCUUAUGACCUGGGCUACAAACGUGAUACAAUGGCUGUUACAAAGGGUAGCUAAAGCGUAAGCUUCUGGCGAAUCUCAAAAAAGCAGUCUCAGUUCGGAUUGAAGUCUGCAACUCGACUUCAUGAAGUUGGAAUCGCUAGUAAUCGCGU